This is a non-coding RNA of Marmota flaviventris (yellow-bellied marmot), 1427 nucleotides long. The record is from RefSeq and is a predicted model, not a curated record. Lineage: Eukaryota; Metazoa; Chordata; Mammalia; Rodentia; Sciuridae.
GAGACCCAAAUGCUGAGGGGGCGUGACUGGAGCGCGCGUUUCCCAACUCUCUUCCCAUCUCCUGACUCUCACCCUCGCGGGUUUGAGGUCCAAAUCUCGCCUCUGAAGGUGCGAGGAGGCUUCGUGGUCUAAGCUCGAAUUCUGCCGGGUAGCGGACAAGACCGACGUCUGGAGGCUGGAAGGCUCUGCCUGACUGAGCGACUCUCCCGGGCGUGGGUUAUGCGGUCUGCGCGGCUGGGCGGGAGGCCCGAGAUAGGCAAACCGAAGAACACGGCCCACUGCCAGCCUGGAGGAGGUGCCAAAGUCCGACCCCUGAGCGGCACACCCCAGAUGGGGGCGGAGACACCCGUGGAUGACUAGAUAGAAAAGACAUCCAAAGUGUACAGAGUAAAGGAGAGGAAUGAGAGCCAUUAGAGAGAAUAGAAGGAGCUGAACCAUGGGGCCCUUUUCACAGGCCACAGUGGAAAGUUUUGAAUAGCAGAAAACCACAUUUGCAUUUCGUAAAAAAUCACUUUUGGCUGCUAAAGUUAAGAUUAAAAUAGAGACGGCUCAAUGAAGCUGUGGUGGAACUAACCUCAGUCAUCUGGGCAAGAAAGGAUGGAGUUGGAGUGUGAAAUGGGAUGCUGGUGAAGAGGAAGAGAACAGAGCAGACUGCAGAGAAAUGAAGAACAUAAUCAUCAGGCCUUGGUGACCAACUGGAUGUGAAGGAUGGAUAAGGUAGAUUCAAGAAUGAUGCCACUGUUCAGCCUUGGAGAGAGGGAUGAAUAGUGGAGACAUUCACAGAUAUGGAGAAUGCUGGAAGGAAGUCUGGUUUGGAAAAGAACACUGAUUACAAUCUCUGUCUUAGACAAGCUGAAUUUCAGGUACCUUUGAGACGUCUUUGUAGAAUAUUGUGAUGCUGAUUUUGAACGUCACCUUGACUGAAUUAAGACAUACCCCCAAAAAAGUGGUAAAACUUUAUUUAUGUAUAUGUCUAUAAAGUGUUUCCAGAAGAGACUGACAUUUUAAUUACUGGAAAGAAUGAGGAAGAUCUGUCCUCACUCAAUGUGGAUGGGCACCAUCUAAUCAGCUGAGAGGCUGGAUAAAACAAAAAGACAAAGGAAAGAGAAAUUCACUCUCUCUCCUCCAGAACUGAGACAUCAUUUUUUCUCCUGCCUUUGGCAUCAAAAUUCCAGGUUUUCCAGCCUUUUAACUCUGGUAGUUUCAUUAGUGACUCCUCAAUUUCUCAGGACUGCAGCCUCAGACCAGGAAUUACACAAUAACAUUCUCCCUGACUCAAGGCCAAGUCCAAGUCAAAAUAGACUUGACUGAACCACACUACUGGCUUCCUUAGUUCUACAUCUUAUAGAUGGGAUUUCUAUAUGGGAUUUCUCCACCUCCAUAAUUAUGGGUGACAAUUUGCCUAAUAAAUCCCUGUCCUAUAGCUA